This 650-nucleotide small RNA is filed under the name Arabidopsis thaliana (thale cress). RNAcentral's name for it is "ATSL015240". Lineage: Eukaryota; Viridiplantae; Streptophyta; Magnoliopsida; Brassicales; Brassicaceae. The record is from RNAcentral.
UUUUAAUCCAAUAGAUCUAUGUUGCUUUACAAAGAAAUAUCUGUAAUAACAUGUGGUUACAAAAAAACCAAAAUUGGAAUAUGGUAUAUCUGUAAGCUAUGAUUUGUUUUUUCACAGUAAUAUUUUGUUUGGACAACUAAAAAAGUAAAGUACAACUAAACUCUACAGAAUUUGUUGGCUAUAUACAGAGAGAAACAAAAAACAUAUUUAAAACAAUUGCUAAAAUUGACAACAUUAGUUUCACUAUAUAAAUCACCUAGACUAACCCAAUAUUACCCACCAAAUCAUCUUCUUCACAAUUAUAAACAGGAAAUACAAAACAAGUUGUAAUACUCAUUUGUAUUAAAUCAUCACUAGUAUUUACGUUAUGACGACUCAAACAUGCAAUGUUUUCAUGUUCGUAGCUAUAUUGACGAUGAUGUUUUCUGCACACAUUGCUCAAUCAAACAGUCUAACAAUGUGUGUGAAACAUUGUGCACAUAACCGGUGUUUGAAAGCGGCGAAAAAUUCUACUCCUGAAAUUUGUGAUGAAACUUGCAAGAAAAUCUGCAACAAUCAACUAUUCGGUGGUAAAAAAUUUAUUGUACCUCCUCCUAAGGGAAGCUCCCACUUCUGUAGAUGGUUGCCUCAGUUUUGUUAAUUCCACGAAA